AUGUGAAUCACAUAGGGAUCUUGUUAAAAUCAAAAUUCUCAAUUCAGAUUUCUGGGGUGGGGCCUGAGAGUUUUAAUUUCUAACCAGCUUACAGUUGAUGUCAAU
RNAcentral lists this microRNA precursor (105 nucleotides) under Marmota monax (woodchuck). Lineage: Eukaryota; Metazoa; Chordata; Mammalia; Rodentia; Sciuridae. The record is from RNAcentral.